GCAAUCAUCAUCGCUGCAAACAGCUGAUCUCCUUCAAGCCAAAUGUCUGUGUGACAAACUCAAGCAUGGUAACGCUGCUGAAUAACGGUCAGCAAAAAUCCAGUGUCAAUGCCUGUUACGUACAGGUUUUCAUAUGUUUCUUUAAGAUUUAUGUAAGAAGUCAAGAUGUCCCGGUAUUAACAAUGACACACCUUUGCUCAGCCUAAUGUAUUCAAACAAACGUCUAAAUCAGCUGAGAUGAAAAAUUAUGAUUUUGAAAGUCAAAUUCUAAAAGAUUGGAUAUACCCCUUUGUUUGACAUUGACCUAAAUUUAAGGGAUUUGAUUUCUGGCUUAAUACCGAAACUUGAAAAGAUAUGUGACAUACAAAAUCCUUACAAGUGAAAGAAAUAAAGAAACUUGAAUCAAACAGAUUUGAAUAUAAAGGAACAUGAAAUAUAUAUUUAAGAGGCUAGGAAGGAGAGAUGGAUGUUCUACAAAAUCAAGGGAAAAGGAGGAGUUGGGAGAUGAGUAGGAAACAGAAGGAAGCUAGACCAGAAGCUAAAAGAGAUUUAGGAGGAAGAAAUCACAGGCCUCAGUUGAGAAUUAUUUUUCAGUGUGUUAAGCUGUUAAGCCAAUGGACUCAAUAAAGAAACUGUUUUAAAA
Bombina bombina (fire-bellied toad) is the source of this 643-nucleotide long non-coding RNA. RefSeq lists it as uncharacterized. The transcript has 3 exons. Lineage: Eukaryota; Metazoa; Chordata; Amphibia; Anura; Bombinatoridae. The record is from RefSeq and is a predicted model, not a curated record.